CCUACGGGAGGCAGCAGUGGGGAAUAUUGGACAAUGGGCGCAAGCCUGAUCCAGCCAUGCCGCGUGUGUGAAGAAGGCCUUCGGGUUGUAAAGCACUUUUGUCCGGAAAGAAAAGCCUUGGGUUAAUACCCUGAGGUUCUGACGGUACCGGAAGAAUAAGCACCGGCUAACUUCGUGCCAGCAGCCGCGGUAAUACGAAGGGUGCAAGCGUUACUCGGAAUUACUGGGCGUAAAGCGUGCGUAGGUGGUUUGUUAAGUCUGAUGUGAAAGCCCUGGGCUCAACCUGGGAAUUGCAUUGGAUACUGGCAGGCUAGAGUGCGGUAGAGGAUGGCGGAAUUCCCGGUGUAGCAGUGAAAUGCGUAGAGAUCGGGAGGAACAUCUGUGGCGAAGGCGGCCAUCUGGACCAGCACUGACACUGAGGCACGAAAGCGUGGGGAGCAAACAGGAUUAGAUACCCUGGUAGUCCACGCCCUAAACGAUGCGAACUGGAUGUUGGGUGCAACUAGGCACUCAGUAUCGAAGCUAACGCGUUAAGUUCGCCGCCUGGGGAGUACGGUCGCAAGACUGAAACUCAAAUGAAUUGACGG
RNAcentral lists this ribosomal RNA (587 nucleotides) under uncultured bacterium. Its description in RNAcentral is "bacterial SSU rRNA". It matches the Rfam family "Bacterial small subunit ribosomal RNA", at positions 338 to 916 of the family's 1533-position model. The record is from RNAcentral.